CUUGAACGCUGGCGGCAUGCUUUACACAUGCAAGUCGAACGGCAGCGCGGGCUUCGGCCUGGCGGCGAGUGGCGAACGGGUGAGUAAUGCAUCGGAACGUGCCCAGCAGUGGGGGAUAGCCCGGCGAAAGCCGGAUUAAUACCGCAUACGACCUGAGGGUGAAAGCGGGGGACCGAAAGGCCUCGCGCUAUUGGAGCGGCCGAUGUCGGAUUAGCUAGUUGGUGGGGUAAAGGCUUACCAAGGCGACGAUCCGUAGCUGGUCUGAGAGGACGACCAGCCACACUGGGACUGAGACACGGCCCAGACUCCUACGGGAGGCAGCAGUGGGGAAUUUUGGACAAUGGGGGCAACCCUGAUCCAGCCAUGCCGCGUGCGGGAAGAAGGCCUUCGGGUUGUAAACCGCUUUUGUUCGGGAAGAAAUCCUCUGGGCUAAUACCCCGGGGGGAUGACGGUACCGGAAGAAUAAGCACCGGCUAACUACGUG
RNAcentral lists this ribosomal RNA (484 nucleotides) under uncultured bacterium. RNAcentral describes it as "partial 16S ribosomal RNA". It matches the Rfam family "Bacterial small subunit ribosomal RNA", at positions 29 to 507 of the family's 1533-position model. The record is from RNAcentral.